RNAcentral lists this long non-coding RNA (1052 nucleotides) under Homo sapiens (human). RNAcentral's name for it is "non-protein coding lnc-SHPRH-4:1". Lineage: Eukaryota; Metazoa; Chordata; Mammalia; Primates; Hominidae. The record is from RNAcentral.
ACUUGAUCAUGUUGGAUUAGCUUUUUGAUGUGCUGCUGGAUUCAAUUUGCAAGUAUCUUGUUGAGGAAUUUUGCAUCGAUGUUCAUCAAGAAUAUUGGGAUGAAGUUUUCAUUUUUUGCUGUGUCUCUGCCAGGUUUUGUUAUCAAGAUGUUGGUGGCUUCAUAGAAUCACUUGGGGAGGAGUCCCUCCUUCUCAACUUUUUAGAAGAGUUUCAGUAGAAAUGGUACCAGCUCGUCUUUCUACAUCUGGUAGAAUUCAGCUGUUAAUCCAUCAGGUCCCGAGCUUUUGUUUGGUUGGUAGGCCCUUUAUUACUGAUUCCAUUUCAGAGCUUGUUAUUGGUCUGUUCAGGAAAACAGUUUCUUCCUGGCUCAGUCUUAGGAGGGUGUAUGUGUCCAGGAAUUUAUCCAUCUCUUCUAGGUUUUGUAGUUUGUGUGCAUAGAGGAGUUUGUAGUAGUUUCUGAUAGCUGCUUUUAUUUCUGUGGGGUCAAUAGUAACAUUCCCUUCAUCAUUUCUAAUAGUGUUUAUUUGGAUAUUCUUUCUUUUCUUUGUUAUUAGCCUAGCUAGUGGCCUAUUUUAUUAAUUUUUUCAAAAAACAACUCCUGGAUUUGUUGAUCUUUGAAAUUGUUUUUCAUGUGUCAAUUUCCUUCAGUUCAGCUCUAAUUUUCAUUAUUUCUCGUCUUCUGCUAGCAUUGGGAUUAAUUUGUUCUAGCUUCUCUAAUUAUUUCAAUUGCGAAGUUAGAUUUUUAAUUAAAAUUACGGACCUCUUCACGAAUUUGUGUGCCAUGCUUGUGCAGGAGGCAUGCUUGUGCAGGGGCUCAAGGGGUAUUGAAUUUUAUCAAAAGUCCUUUCUGCAUCUAUUGAGAUAAGACACUCUAUCACAACAGAAUACACAUUCUUUUCAAGUGCACAUAGCAUAUUUAUCAAGAUAAGGAGAGAAAACACAACUAUCAAUAUCAGAAAUCAAAGAGAAGACAUCACUACAGAUCCCACAGAUAUCAAAGGGAUAAAAAAAUUACAAGUCAUUCUUUAUCCAAAUAUUUGAUAACUUAUAA